UGGGGAAUUUUGGACAAUGGGCGCAAGCCUGAUCCAGCCAUGCCGCGUGCGGGAAGAAGGCCUUCGGGUUGUAAACCGCUUUUGUCAGGGAAGAAAUCUUCUGAGUUAAUACCUCGGGAGGAUGACGGUACCUGAAGAAUAAGCACCGGCUAACUACGUGCCAGCAGCCGCGGUAAUACGUAGGGUGCAAGCGUUAAUCGGAAUUACUGGGCGUAAAGCGUGCGCAGGCGGUUUUGUAAGACAGAGGUGAAAUCCCCGGGCUCAACCUGGGAACUGCCUUUGUGACUGCAAGGCUUGAGUGCGGCAGAGGGGGAUGGAAUUCCGCGUGUAGCAGUGAAAUGCGUAGAUAUGCGGAGGAACACCGAUGGCGAAGGCAAUCCCCUGGGCCUGCACUGACGCUCACGCACGAAAGCGUGGGGAGCAAACAGGAUUAGAUACCCUGGUAGUCCACGCCCUAAACGAUGUCAACUGGUUGUUGGGAAGGUUCCUUCUCAGUAACGUAGCUAACGCGUGAAGUUGACCGCCUGGGGAGUACGGCCGCAAGGUU
RNAcentral lists this ribosomal RNA (547 nucleotides) under uncultured bacterium. Its description in RNAcentral is "partial 16S ribosomal RNA". It matches the Rfam family "Bacterial small subunit ribosomal RNA", at positions 355 to 895 of the family's 1533-position model. The record is from RNAcentral.